RNAcentral lists this ribosomal RNA (118 nucleotides) under Pteropus alecto (black flying fox). The record is from RNAcentral. Lineage: Eukaryota; Metazoa; Chordata; Mammalia; Chiroptera; Pteropodidae.
GUCUACGGCCACGCCACCCUGAACGCGCGCGAUCCCGUCUGAUCUCGGAAGCUAAGCAGGGUCGGGCCUGGUUAGUACUUGGAUGGGAGACCGCCAAGAAGACCAGGUGCUGGAGGCG